Molecule: ribosomal RNA, 515 nt
Filed under: uncultured bacterium
Lineage: Bacteria
Description: bacterial SSU rRNA
Rfam family: Bacterial small subunit ribosomal RNA
Source: RNAcentral
CUACGUGCCAGCAGCCGCGGUAAUACGGAGGGUGCGAGCGUUAAUCGGAAUAACUGGGCGUAAAGGGCACGCAGGCGGUUAUUUAAGUGAGGUGUGAAAGCCCCGGGCUUAACCUGGGAAUUGCAUUUCAGACUGGGUAACUAGAGUACUUUAGGGAGGGGUAGAAUUCCACGUGUAGCGGUGAAAUGCGUAGAGAUGUGGAGGAAUACCGAAGGCGAAGGCAGCCCCUUGGGAAUGUACUGACGCUCAUGUGCGAAAGCGUGGGGAGCAAACAGGAUUAGAUACCCUGGUAGUCCACGCUGUAAACGCUGUCGAUUUGGGGAUUGGGCUUAAAGCUUGGUGCCCGUAGCUAACGUGAUAAAUCGACCGCCUGGGGAGUACGGCCGCAAGGUUAAAACUCAAAUGAAUUGACGGGGGCCCGCACAAGCGGUGGAGCAUGUGGUUUAAUUCGAUGCAACGCGAAGAACCUUACCUACUCUUGACAUCCAUGGAAUUCUGUAGAGAUACGGGAGUGC